This 508-nucleotide ribosomal RNA is filed under the name uncultured bacterium. RNAcentral's name for it is "partial 16S ribosomal RNA". It matches the Rfam family "Bacterial small subunit ribosomal RNA", at positions 899 to 1397 of the family's 1533-position model. The record is from RNAcentral.
ACUCAAAGGAAUUGACGGGGGCUCACACAAGCGGUGGAGCAUGUGGCUCAAUUCGAAGCAACGCGAAGAACCUUAUCCUGGAUUUGACAUGGUGGAAGUAAGAAGCGGAAACGUUUAUGACCGGUAUCCAAUCCGGAACCAUCACAGGUGCUGCAUGGCUGUCGUCAGCUCGUGCUGUGAAGUGUCGGGUUAAGUCCCAUAACGAGCGAAACCCUUAUCGUUAGUUGCCAGCGAGUCAAGUCGGGCACUCUAACGAGACUGCCGGUGUUAAACCGGAGGAAGGCGGGGAUGACGUCAAGUCCUCAUGGCCUUUAUAUCCAGGGCUGCACACGUGCUACAAUGCCGAUGACAAACCGAAGCAAGACCGUAAGGUGGAGCAAAUCGGAGAAAAAUCGGCCCAGUUCAGAUUGAGGGCUGCAACUCGCCCUCAUGAAGUUGGAAUCGCUAGUAAUCGCGGAUCAGCUACGCCGCGGUGAAUGUGUUCCUGAGCCUUGUACACACCGCCCGU